AUUCUGUCUCUUAGGGUCCUGCCACCACCACAUAUGUUAGCCUGCUGGAGGACGACAGCCAGCCAACCUCCAGACAUGUGAGUGAGGCCAACCUAAACCAGCCAGCCCUCAGCCAUCCCAGCAGCUGAACACAGAUGCAUGAGAAAGGCCAGUCUGUAUUACCUGAAUGCAGCCCAGAAGAGCAGAACCACCUAUUGGGUCCUUAGUCUCAUGGGAAAUAGUAGAUGGUGGUUGUUUGCUGCCACUAACAUGUGGAGUGGUUUUCGAUGAAGUAAUAGUUAAUUAAUCCAAUUUUUGUCUUCCCAACUCUACAUGUGCAAAUUCUACCCAUUCCAUUUCAAAUAUACCAUCCUCCAUGAAGUAUUGCCUGAUACCUACAGCAAGAAGUCAGCUCUUUUUCCUCUGACACCCUACAGCAUUUAAACUGUAUCUUUUGGUAUUUGUCAGAAUAGGUUAAAACUAUGCUGCUGUAACAAAUUUCUUUGGCUUUGUAUAAAAAAGAUUUAUUUCUUGCUCAUGGUACACAACUUAUGAGAAUUGCCGGGGAGUUCUGCUUCACACAUUCUCUCAGGCUACCACACUGAGGCAAGCGGCACCUUCAUGGAAACACUGUCUCAGAUCUAGACCUCAGACAAAUCAUGAAGAACUCAAACCUGCUCUUCGUCACUUCUGCCCACUGCCCAUUGUCUAGGCCUGGUCAUGUGUCCUCAUCUAACUGCAAGACAGCUGGAAAAUCAGGGAAAGCACAUGGAUACUUGUCCAUGUCUAUGCCAUUGUUUCUCAUGGUACCAUUUCUUUAUGCCUGUAUACCUUUGAUUUGCGUAGUUUUCUUUCUUAUACCGAAUGUGGUAUAUAUCCUCGCCCAGGACUCGUUUCAUGAACAUGCAUGCUGUGCAUUCUCACAGGGCCCCCAUGCUUAAAACUCUUAGUUUAAUAAUUUGAUAUCACCAUUUUGAAAUUCUUAAUGAGUUUCAACAGGAAGCCUCUCAUUUUCACUUUGUCCUGAACCCUGCAAAUUAUAUAGCUGAUCUUGUUCAUACCUAAUCUAGUAAUUCUCAACCCAGAGUGCUCACUGGAGGAAUUUUUUAAAAUAUAGAUACCCAAGCCCCACCUGAGAACAAAUUACAUCAAACUCUGGGAAUGAGGCCCUGGCAAUGGUUUUUU
Molecule: long non-coding RNA, 1164 nt
Filed under: Homo sapiens (human)
Lineage: Eukaryota; Metazoa; Chordata; Mammalia; Primates; Hominidae
Description: HSALNT0330031
Source: RNAcentral